CCUACGGGUGGCUGCAGUGGGGAAUAUUGGACAAUGGGCGCAAGCCUGAUCCAGCAACGCCGCGUGGAGGAUGAAGGCCUUCGGGUUGUAAACUCCUGUCAGGUGGAACGAAAAACCUCAGCUAACAACUGAGCAUAUGACGGUACCACCAGAGGAAGCCCCGGCUAACUCUGUGCCAGCAGCCGCGGUAAUACAGAGGGGGCAAGCGUUAUUCGGAAUUAUUGGGCGUAAAGGGCGCGUAGGCGGCCAAGCAAGUCAGGGGUGAAAUCCCUCGG
This 275-nucleotide ribosomal RNA is filed under the name uncultured bacterium. RNAcentral describes it as "partial 16S ribosomal RNA". It matches the Rfam family "Bacterial small subunit ribosomal RNA", at positions 338 to 607 of the family's 1533-position model. The record is from RNAcentral.